AGAGAAUGUUUAUGCCCCAAGUCUUUUGAGUGUAAUUCUUUCUGGAAAUCAACUUUUAGCUCUUUGGAAGAGGUUCAUUAUUUUCCUUGAAGAAUACCUAGGCUUCUAAUUAUCACUCAAGGAAAAUAUGCAGAGAGCCCAUGUCUCUAUUUAAGAUGGUAUGGAGUUAGUAGUGUACUUCCAAGCAAGCCCCCACAUUUGAAGACGGCAAAUUUUCAGUUUCAUAAAAUGUAAAAGUAGAAAAUGAGCCUACCCAGAAAAGACAGGGUAGCAUUAACUUUAUCCCGCAUGUGGAUUUCUUUUUCAGAGUUUGGAUUACUCCCUGGCAUUGUAUCUCGGUGUCCCAGCAGUAGGAAGGCAGAAAUGGGUGAAUUUCCUUGGAUGAUGUCCAUACAACUGUCUUUCUCCCAUCUUUGUGCUGGCUCAAUACUGAACGAACAGUGGAUCCUUACAUCUGCGAGAUGUGCCAAUUUCAUGUCUUCAGGAUUCUUGUCUCAUAAAAUUCAGUGUCUUCAUCUCUAAAAUAACAAGUAAUGAAGAAAGUAAUGAAGAAAGAAUUGAGGAAAAUCUGGAAUUUUGCACAAAAGACACAUGAGCAUCCUGCAAGCCAGCACUUGUGCACAAUUCACUUUGUGUGUGGAAGCCAAGAGCGCUACUGGGGAGGCUGGCUGUCAGGGUGAUCGAGGGGCACCUCUGGUGUGCCGUCUCCAACAGAAGAACACCUGGGUGCCGUUGGGAAUAUUGAGUCACUUUGAUGAACAUUGCAAAAGGCCCUAUGUUUUCAGUCGAGUGAGCCCUUUCAUUGCCUGGAUCCAGGGAGUAACAAGGCACAGCCGUGCACCCUGGUCUCUUCAAGGGCCCAGGACUACCUCUGCU
Heterocephalus glaber (naked mole-rat) is the source of this 876-nucleotide non-coding RNA. Lineage: Eukaryota; Metazoa; Chordata; Mammalia; Rodentia; Bathyergidae. The record is from RefSeq and is a predicted model, not a curated record.